UCCCAACGUCUUAUGUCAAGGCCAAAAACGUUCAGGCAAGCAGCAAGCUUUCAUGGGUUUUGACAAUAUUUUUCUCCCAUGAUCCCCAAAAUCAGUUCAAAAUUGUAAUUCUUCUACAUUUCUUUCUGUUUUAGUUGAUGGACACCCAAAUCUUUCUAUUUUGUUUGGAUCAGCUGGUGGACAAGGACCUGGAGAGGGCGAUUCCUCUGUUUUGGGCUGCAAUUAAUGCUGGAGAUAAGAGUUGACAGUGCUCUGAAAGACAUGGCGAUUGUGAUGAAACAGCAAAAUAGGGCCGAAGAAGCCAUUGAAGCUAUUAAGUCACUUAGGAGUCGAUGUUCAGAGCAAGCCCAAGAGUCUCUGGAUAAUAUUCUCCUGGAUCUUUACAAGAGAUGUGGAAGAUUAGACGAUCAAUCGCACUCUUGAAGCACAAGUUGUUUUUGAUUCUACAAGGGAUGGCGUUAAUGGAAAGCGUACCAAAACUGCUCGAUCACAAGGAAAGAAGUUUCAAGUUUCUAUGGAGCAGGAAGCGACUCGCUUGCUAGGGAACUUAGGAUGGGCGCUUAUGCAGAGAAGAAGGAGAAGAAGAAGAGGCGAGUUCUGGGCAAAUGGAAAGGAAGAGAGAGAGAGAGAGAGAGGGGUUUAGCCGUUUAGGGCAAAUAGAGGAGAGAGGAAGAAAAGGGGUAAAAUCAUCUUUUCAAUUUCAAAACCUAAUAAUCCUCACACCGUGAGAGGGGAGGUGGAUGUAAAUUAUUAUUAUUAUUGAUCCAUCAAGCCUUGAACCUCCGACCUUUAGACUGUAUAUACAGUGAACAA
Molecule: long non-coding RNA, 813 nt
Organism: Macadamia integrifolia
Lineage: Eukaryota; Viridiplantae; Streptophyta; Magnoliopsida; Proteales; Proteaceae
Exons: 3
Source: RefSeq, a predicted model, not a curated record